This 404-nucleotide ribosomal RNA is filed under the name Actinomycetes bacterium. RNAcentral's name for it is "Actinobacteria bacterium partial 16S ribosomal RNA". It matches the Rfam family "Bacterial small subunit ribosomal RNA", at positions 355 to 776 of the family's 1533-position model. Lineage: Bacteria; Bacillati; Actinomycetota; Actinomycetes. The record is from RNAcentral.
UGGGGAAUAUUGGACAAUGGGCGCAAGCCUGAUCCAGCCAUGCCGCGUGAGUGAUGAAGGCCCUAGGGCUGUAAAGCUCUUUCACCGGUGAAGAUAAUGACGGUAACCGGAGAAGAAGCCCCGGCUAACUUCGUGCCAGCAGCCGCGGUAAUACGAAGGGGGCUAGCGUUGUUCGGAUUUACUGGGCGUAAAGCGCACGUAGGCGGACUUUUAAGUCAGGGGUGAAAUCCCGGGGCUCAACCCCGGAACUGCCUUUGAUACUGGAAGUCUUGAGUAUGGUGGAGGUGGGUGGAAUUCCGGGUGUAGAGGUGAAAUGCGUAGAUAUUCGGAGGAACGCCAGUGGCGAAGGCGGCUCACUGGACCAUUACUGACGCUGAGGUGCGAAAGCGUGCGGAGCAAACAGG